GAUGAACGCUGGCGGCGUGCUUAACGCAUGCAAGUCGAACGGGAAUUAUUUUAUUGAAACUUCGGUCGAUUUAAUUUAAUUCUAGUGGCGGACGGGUGAGUAACGCGUGGGUAACCUGCCUUAUACAGGGGGAUAACAGUCAGAAAUGGCUGCUAAUACCGCAUAAGCGCACAGAGCUGCAUGGCUCAGUGUGAAAAACUCCGGUGGUAUAAGAUGGACCCGCGUUGGAUUAGCUGGUUGGUGGGGUAACGGCCCACCAAGGCGACGAUCCAUAGCCGGCCUGAGAGGGUGAACGGCCACAUUGGGACUGAGACACGGCCCAGACUCCUACGGGAGGCAGCAGUGGGGAAUAUUGCACAAUGGGGGAAACCCUGAUGCAGCGACGCCGCGUGAAGGAAGAAGUAUCUCGGUAUGUAAACUUCUAUCAGCAGGGAAGAUAGUGACGGUACCUGACUAAGAAGCCCCGGCUAACUACGUG
RNAcentral lists this ribosomal RNA (478 nucleotides) under uncultured bacterium. Its description in RNAcentral is "partial 16S ribosomal RNA". It matches the Rfam family "Bacterial small subunit ribosomal RNA", at positions 28 to 507 of the family's 1533-position model. The record is from RNAcentral.